Molecule: long non-coding RNA, 301 nt
Filed under: Nicotiana benthamiana
Lineage: Eukaryota; Viridiplantae; Streptophyta; Magnoliopsida; Solanales; Solanaceae
Description: long non-coding RNA (NBEN_LNC001744)
Source: RNAcentral
AGAGCUGGCACUUCCCAUUAUACCCGCGAGAUUGGCCAUUGUUGGAGUAACCACCGCGACCGUAGGAUGAACCACGGUUGCCACGGCCACGGCCACCGAAGCGGAUACGGCCGAACUGCUGUCCGGCGACUAAGGCAGCCGACGGAACCAAAUCAGAUGCGGCGGAGGAGGCCGGCGCACGAGCAGUAAUCUGAGCCUCCACGCUUAACAGCUUGUCAUGUAAUUCAGCAAAAGAGAAUGGAGAUUCACGGGCUUGGAUAGCAUGAGAGAGCUCCAUAUACGGAUCAUCAAGACAAUUGAG